GAUGAACGCUGGCGGCGUGCCUAACACAUGCAAGUCGAGCGAUCUUCUUCGGAAGAGAGCGGCGGACGGGUGAGUAACGCGUGGGUAACCUGCCUCAUACACAUGGAUAACAUACCGAAGGUAUGCUAAUACAAGAUGAUAUAAGAGAUUCGCAUGGAUUUCUUAUCAAAGCUCGGCGGUAUGAGAUGGACCCGCGUCUGAUUAGCUAGUUGGUAAGGUAAUAGGCUUACCAAGGCGACGAUCAGUAGCCGACCUGAGAGGGUGAUCGGCCACGAUUGGAACUGAGACACGGUCCAAACUCCUACGGGAGCAGCAGUGGGAAUAUUGCACAAUGGGCAAAGCCUGAUGCAGCAACGCCGUCGUG
Molecule: ribosomal RNA, 364 nt
Filed under: uncultured bacterium
Lineage: Bacteria
Description: bacterial SSU rRNA
Rfam family: Bacterial small subunit ribosomal RNA
Source: RNAcentral